CUGGGACUUAGAGUCAAGUCAUGGCGAUCACUUCACAAUGCAGAUCUUGAUGAUGGAGGCGACACUGAUACAGUGGAUAGCCAUGAUGGCAUCAUCAGGCUUGCAUUGCAAAGCUGGUUUUGCACGACCGACUUCAACGCAUCCUCCAGGAUCACCUCCGUCGACUCUGAGUCUGUAGCCUUUGCAGAGCCCUCACUGAGGAGGGGAAUGAGACAUCUGUACAAAUGGAAUAGGGUGCACGAGGAAGGGACAAGGUCCUCCACCGUCGUUGUGCCGAUGCUGCAGACCUCACCCCUUCGGCAGGACCAACAGGAAGCCUUCGUCUAUGCAUGGGGCAAUGCGCAGCGGGGGUCGAGGGUGGGUGCUGGGGGCGUACGGCUGGAGGAUGCAAGGGCGCGUGUGAGUGAGACAAAGUCGCCGAGGGUCAGCGGCGGUUGUGGCGUCGAUGCGGCGGGAGACUAUGAUGGCGUGAACGAGGCGCUGCGGGGUGGCAUUGGGGGAUGCGCGCGGGUCGGCGGAGGGUGCGGCGUCUGGGAUGUUUCUAAAGAGCAGUUUGCUGCUGAAAGUCUCUUUCCACCGGGCGACAUGGAAAAUACCACUCAAGUUGUGCUGGAGACUCAUGCUGCUGCCAAUUCCAAGGUAAAUGCUCCAUAUGUCUCAGAUUUUUGCUGA
RNAcentral lists this unclassified non-coding RNA (672 nucleotides) under Zea mays. RNAcentral describes it as "misc RNA Zm00001eb422520". Lineage: Eukaryota; Viridiplantae; Streptophyta; Magnoliopsida; Poales; Poaceae. The record is from RNAcentral.